This 451-nucleotide ribosomal RNA is filed under the name uncultured bacterium. RNAcentral's name for it is "partial 16S ribosomal RNA". It matches the Rfam family "Bacterial small subunit ribosomal RNA", at positions 354 to 796 of the family's 1533-position model. The record is from RNAcentral.
GUGGGGAAUAUUGGACAAUGGGGGGAACCCUGAUCCAGCCAUGCCGCGUGUGUGAAGAAGGCCUUUUGGUUGUAAAGCACUUUAAGCGAGGAGGAGGCUACCGAGAUUAAUACUCUUGGAUAGUGGACGUUACUCGCAGAAUAAGCACCGGCUAACUCUGUGCCAGCAGCCGCGGUAAUACAGAGGGUGCAAGCGUUAAUCGGAUUUACUGGGCGCAAAGCGCGCGUAGGUGGCCAAUUAAGUCAAAUGUGAAAUCCCCGAGCUUAACUUGGGAAUUGCAUUCGAUACUGGUUGGCUAGAGUAUGGGAGAGGAUGGUAGAAUUCCAGGUGUAGCGGUGAAAUGCGUAGAGAUCUGGAGGAAUACCGAUGGCGAAGGCAGCCAUCUGGCCUAAUACUGACACUGAGGUGCGAAAGCAUGGGGAGCAAACAGGAUUAGAAACCCGGGUAGUCC